RNAcentral lists this ribosomal RNA (704 nucleotides) under uncultured Bradyrhizobiaceae bacterium. Its description in RNAcentral is "bacterial SSU rRNA". It matches the Rfam family "Bacterial small subunit ribosomal RNA", at positions 28 to 776 of the family's 1533-position model. Lineage: Bacteria; Pseudomonadati; Pseudomonadota; Alphaproteobacteria; Hyphomicrobiales; Nitrobacteraceae. The record is from RNAcentral.
AGCGAACGCUGGCGGCAGGCUUAACACAUGCAAGUCGAGCGGGCGUAGCAAUACGUCAGCGGCAGACGGGUGAGUAACGCGUGGGAACGUACCUUUUGGUUCGGAACAACACAGGGAAACUUGUGCUAAUACUGGAUAAGCCCUUACGGGGAAAGAUUUAUCGCCGAAAGAUCGGCCCGCGUCUGAUUAGCUAGUUGGUGAGGUAAUGGCUCACCAAGGCGACGAUCAGUAGCUGGUCUGAGAGGAUGAUCAGCCACAUUGGGACUGAGACACGGCCCAAACUCCUACGGGAGGCAGCAGUGGGGAAUAUUGGACAAUGGGCGCAAGCCUGAUCCAGCCAUGCCGCGUGAGUGAUGAAGGCCCUAGGGUUGUAAAGCUCUUUUGUGCGGGAAGAUAAUGACGGUACCGCAAGAAUAAGCCCCGGCUAACUUCGUGCCAGCAGCCGCGGUAAUACGAAGGGGGCUAGCGUUGCUCGGAAUCACUGGGCGUAAAGGGUGCGUAGGCGGGUCUUUAAGUCAGGGGUGAAAUCCUGGAGCUCAACUCCAGAACUGCCUUUGAUACUGAAGAUCUUGAGUUCGGGAGAGGUGAGUGGAACUGCGAGUGUAGAGGUGAAAUUCGUAGAUAUUCGCAAGAACACCAGUGGCGAGGGCGGCUCACUGGCCCGAUACUGACGCUGAGGCACGAAAGCGUGGGGAGCAAACAGG